RNAcentral lists this ribosomal RNA (1346 nucleotides) under uncultured bacterium. RNAcentral describes it as "partial 16S ribosomal RNA". It matches the Rfam family "Bacterial small subunit ribosomal RNA", at positions 28 to 1381 of the family's 1533-position model. The record is from RNAcentral.
GACGAACGCUGGCGGCGUGCUUAACACAUGCAAGUCGAACGGAAAGGCCCUGCUUUUGUGGGGUGCUCGAGUGGCGAACGGGUGAGUAACACGUGAGUAACCUGCCCUUGACUUUGGGAUAACUUCAGGAAACUGGGGCUAAUACCGGAUAGGAGCUCCUGCUGCAUGGUGGGGGUUGGAAAGUUUCGGCGGUUGGGGAUGGACUCGCGGCUUAUCAGCUUGUUGGUGGGGUAGUGGCUUACCAAGGCUUUGACGGGUAGCCGGCCUGAGAGGGUGACCGGCCACAUUGGGACUGAGAUACGGCCCAGACUCCUACGGGAGGCAGCAGUGGGGAAUAUUGCACAAUGGGCGGAAGCCUAAUGCAGCAACGCCGCGUGCGGGAUGACGGCCUUCGGGUUGUAAACCGCUUUCGCCUGUGACGAAGCGUGAGUGACGGUAAUGGGUAAAGAAGCACCGGCUAACUACGUGCCAGCAGCCGCGGUGAUACGUAGGGUGCGAGCGUUGUCCGGAUUUAUUGGGCGUAAAGGGCUCGUAGGUGGUUGAUCGCGUCGGAAGUGUAAUCUUGGGGCUUAACCCUGAGCGUGCUUUCGAUACGGGUUGACUUGAGGAAGGUAGGGGAGAAUGGAAUUCCUGGCGGAGCGGUGGAAUGCGCAGAUAUCAGGAGGAACACCAGUGGCGAAGGCGGUUCUCUGGGCCUUUCCUGACGCUGAGGAGCGAAAGCGUGGGGAGCGAACAGGCUUAGAUACCCUGGUAGUCCACGCUGUAAACGGUGGGUACUAGGUGUGGGGUCCAUUCCACGGGUUCCGUGCCGUAGCUAACGCUUUAAGUACCCCGCCUGGGGAGUACGGCCGCAAGGCUAAAACUCAAAGGAAUUGACGGGGCCCCGCACAAGCGGCGGAGCAUGCGGAUUAAUUCGAUGCAACGCGUAGAACCUUACCUGGGUUUGACAUGGAUCGGGAGUGCUCAGAGAUGGGUGUGCCUCUUUUGGGGUCGGUUCACAGGUGGUGCAUGCCUGUCGUCAGCUCGUGUCGUGAGAUGUUGGGUUAAGUCCCGCAACGAGCGCAACCCUUGUUCACUGUUGCCAGCACGUUAUGGUGGGGACUCAGUGGAGACCGCCGGGGUCAACUCGGAGGAAGGUGGGGAUGACGUCAAGUCAUCAUGCCCCUUAUGUCCAGGGCUUCACGCAUGCUACAAUGGCUGGUACAGAGAGUGGCGAGCCUGUGAGGGUGAGCGAAUCUCGGAAAGCCGGUCUCAGUUCGGAUUGGGGUCUGCAACUCGACCUCAUGAAGUCGGAGUCGCUAGUAAUCGCAGAUCAGCAACGCUGCGGUGAAUACGUUCCCGGGGCU